CCCCCAAGAAUGCUUCCUCUAAAUCUUUCAUAAGUAUACCUAAGUACUUUUCAAAAGGAUGGGAGAUCUUACUUGAUCUAUAAGGUGGAGGAGGUACCACAUCAAUUGACUCACUAAUGGGUUUAGAUUUCUGGACUCGAUACUUUUUAGAGACCUUCUCUUCGAGCUCAAUCUUCCUCCCACUGCCUUCAUCUUGGAUAAACUCCUUUUCCAAGAAGAUGACAUGAUAGCUCAC
Molecule: long non-coding RNA, 235 nt
Filed under: Elaeis guineensis (African oil palm)
Lineage: Eukaryota; Viridiplantae; Streptophyta; Magnoliopsida; Arecales; Arecaceae
Description: long non-coding RNA (EGUI_LNC059772)
Source: RNAcentral